This 479-nucleotide ribosomal RNA is filed under the name uncultured Bacteroidota bacterium. RNAcentral describes it as "uncultured Bacteroidetes bacterium partial 16S ribosomal RNA". The record is from RNAcentral. Lineage: Bacteria; Pseudomonadati; Bacteroidota.
CACGUAGUUAGCCGUGGCUUAUUCACCGGGUACCUUCAAUUGCUCACGCAUGAGCUUUUUAUCCCCCGGCAAAAGCAGUUUACAACCCAGAAGGCCUUCUUCCUGCACGCGGCAUGGCUGGUUCAGACUUGCAUCCAUUGACCAAUAUUCCCUACUGCUGCCUCCCGUAGGAGUCUGGCCCGUAUCUCAGUGCCAGUGUGGGGGAUCAACCUCUCAGUUCCCCUACUGAUCAUCGCCUUGGUAGUCCGUUACACUACCAACUAGCUAAUCAGACGCAUGCUCAUCCCAUACCGUCUUGCGACUUUAAUUAUCAGGUGAUGCCACCCAACAAUAUUACGGAGUAUUAAUCCGGCUUUCGCCGAGCUAUUCUCCUGUACAGGGCAGAUUGCAUACGUGUUACGCACCCUUACGCUACUCUCAUAUCAUAUUGCUAUAAUAUUUACCGUUCAGCUUGCAUGUAUUAGGCCUGCCGCUAGCGU